UUUCCAGCAGCACUCCGGUGGUGACAGCACUCACAACUCUGCAGGCUGAUCCAAGGGCAGGAUGCACCACUGCUACGCCGCAUGGUGGGCUCUCCUGUUUCACACAGCACAAUAUCAAGGGUGUUGAGUCGUGGGUAUGGACUGUGAACAUGUGAACAUGUGAAACCAGCUGCAUUAAGUCCAGACAGCAUAUAAGUUAUUCCUUUAUUAUUUAUUUUUAGCAAUGGCCACGUAACUUACCAUUCAGUGUCUCUGUAAUUUUACUACAUGACCCUUAUUUCUGCUCUUCUGAUAAAAAUAAACAAAGGUAAUAAUUUUCACAAAAAAAGAACAGAAAAGAAGUAAGCCUCAUGUGUCCUCCACUGGAGAUUACCUUCACUCAAUUCCACUCUACUUUAGUCCAUUCCAUUCCAUUCCAUUCCAUUCCAUUCCAUUCCAUUCCAUUUUUUUUUAGCCUAUUCCAUUCUAUUCCACUCCACUCCAUUUCACUCAAUUCCACUCUGCUGCAUUCCACUCUAUUCUAUUCCAUUCUAUUCCAUUCCACUCCAUUCAAUGACUUUCUACUCAUUCCAUUCCAUUCCAUUCCAUUCCAUUCCAUUCCAUUCCAUUCCAUUCCAUUCCAUUCCAUUCCAUUCCAUACCACUUCAUCCCACUCCACUCAAUUCCACUCCAAUCCACUCCAUUCCAUUCCAUUCCAUUCCAUUCCAUUCCAUUCCAUUCCAUUCCAUACCACUUCACCCCACUCCACUCCACUCAAUUCCACUCCACUCCGCUCCAUUCCACUCCACUCCAGUCCAUUCCAUUCCACUCCAUUCUAUUCAAGUUCAUUUCUUCCUACGUUCCGUUCCAUUCCAUUCCAUUCCAUUCCAUUCCAUUCCAUUCCAUUCCAUUCCAUUCCAUUGUGUUUCUUUUACUCCAUUCAUCUCAUUCCACUCCACUCCACUCCACACCAUUCCAUUUCUUUUAUUCCAUUCAUCUCAUUCCACUCCAUUCCACUCCAUUCUAUUCCAUUCCACUCCACUCUAUUCAAGUCCAUUUCUUUCUAUUCCAUUCCAUUCCAUUUCACUAAAUUCCAUUUCAUUUCAUUCUACUCCAUUCUUCUGAAGUCCAUUUCUUUCUACUCCAUUGCAUUCUGUUCCAUUCCAUUUCUUUUACUUCAUUCAUCUCCUUCCCUUCCCUUCCCUUCCCUUCCCUUCCCUUCCCUUCCCUUCCCUUCCCUUCCCUUCCCUUCCCGUCAGUUCUAUUCCAC
RNAcentral lists this long non-coding RNA (1249 nucleotides) under Phasianus colchicus (ring-necked pheasant). RNAcentral describes it as "lncRNA (ENSPCLG00000017805.1)". Lineage: Eukaryota; Metazoa; Chordata; Aves; Galliformes; Phasianidae. The record is from RNAcentral.